This 450-nucleotide ribosomal RNA is filed under the name uncultured bacterium. RNAcentral describes it as "partial 16S ribosomal RNA". It matches the Rfam family "Bacterial small subunit ribosomal RNA", at positions 354 to 796 of the family's 1533-position model. The record is from RNAcentral.
GUGGGGAAUAUUGGACAAUGGGCGCAAGCCUGAUCCAGCCAUGCCGCGUGUGUGAAGAAGGCCUUCGGGUUGUAAAGCACUUUCAGUUGGGAGGAAGGCCUGUAAGUUAAUACCCGCCGGGGAUGACGGUACCGUAAGAAUAAGCACCGGCUAACUUCGUGCCAGCAGCCGCGGUAAUACGAAGGGUGCAAGCGUUAAUCGGAAUUACUGGGCGUAAAGCGUGCGUAGGUGGUUUCUUAAGUCUGUCGUGAAAGCCCUGGGCUCAACCUGGGAAUGGCGAUGGAUACUGGGAGGCUAGAGUGCGGUAGAGGAUGGCGGAAUUCCCGGUGUAGCGGUGAAAUGCGUAGAGAUCGGGAGGAACAUCUGUGGCGAAGGCGGCCAUCUGGACCAGCACUGACACUGAGGCACGAAAGCGUGGGGAGCAAACAGGAUUAGAAACCCGGGUAGUCC